GACGAACGCUGGCGGCGUGCUUAAUACAUGCAAGUCGAACGGAAAGGCGCGGCGCUUGCGGGUCUCACGAUUGGCGCGCAGGGGAGUAACACAUGUGGAACACCCCCUUGUCUGUGUGGGAACUUCUCGGGACUGCGGCGAUUAUCGGGUAUGAUCUACUGCAGCGUGGGGUUCGAUGGAGAGAGUCGGCGGUGGGGUAUAGUCUCGCUGCUUAUGAGCUGGUUGGUGUGGUAGUGGCGGACAAAGGCUUUGACGGGUAGGCGGCGUGAGAGGGUGAACGGCCACAUUGCGCCUGAGAUACGGAGCAGAAUCCUACGGGAGGCAGCAGUGGGGAAUAUUGCACAAUGGGCGGGAGUCUGAUGCAGAAACGCUGCGUGCGGGAUGACGGCCUUCGGGUUGUAAACCGAUUUGGACUGUGACGAAGCGUGAGUGACGGUAAUGGGUAAAAAAGCACCGGCUAACUACGUG
Molecule: ribosomal RNA, 468 nt
Filed under: uncultured bacterium
Lineage: Bacteria
Description: partial 16S ribosomal RNA
Rfam family: Bacterial small subunit ribosomal RNA
Source: RNAcentral